Molecule: transfer RNA, 71 nt
Filed under: Scenedesmus sp. NREL 46B-D3
Lineage: Eukaryota; Viridiplantae; Chlorophyta; Chlorophyceae; Sphaeropleales; Scenedesmaceae
Rfam family: tRNA
About the family: Transfer RNA (tRNA) molecules are approximately 80 nucleotides in length. Their secondary structure includes four short double-helical elements and three loops (D, anti-codon, and T loops). Further hydrogen bonds mediate the characteristic L-shaped molecular structure. tRNAs have two regions of fundamental functional importance: the anti-codon, which is responsible for specific mRNA codon recognition, and the 3' end, to which the tRNAs corresponding amino acid is attached (by aminoacyl-tRNA synthetases). tRNAs cope with the degeneracy of the genetic code in two manners: having more than one tRNA (with a specific anti-codon) for a particular amino acid; and 'wobble' base-pairing, i.e. permitting non-standard base-pairing at the 3rd anti-codon position.
Source: Rfam by way of RNAcentral
GGCUCUAUAGUGUAGUGGUUAUCACACUGGACUCUGAAUCCAGUGACCCCAGUUCGACCUGGGUAGGGCCU